GGUUAAGCGACUAAGCGUACACGGUGGAUGCCCUGGCAGUCAGAGGCGAUGAAGGGCGUGCUAAUCUGCGAUAAGCGCCGGUAAGGUGAUAUGAACCGUUAUAACCGGCGAUACCCGAAUGGGGAAACCCAGUGUGAUUCGUCACACUAUCAUUAACUGAAUCCAUAGGUUAAUGAGGCGAACCGGGGGAACUGAAACAUCUAAGUACCCCGAGGAAAAGAAAUC
This 225-nucleotide ribosomal RNA is filed under the name Salmonella enterica subsp. enterica serovar Derby. RNAcentral's name for it is "partial 23S ribosomal RNA". It matches the Rfam family "Bacterial large subunit ribosomal RNA", at positions 1 to 226 of the family's 2925-position model. Lineage: Bacteria; Pseudomonadati; Pseudomonadota; Gammaproteobacteria; Enterobacterales; Enterobacteriaceae. The record is from RNAcentral. RNAcentral also lists the same sequence under 13 other names.